Molecule: transfer RNA, 71 nt
Filed under: Nephromyces sp. ex Molgula occidentalis
Lineage: Eukaryota; Apicomplexa; Aconoidasida; Nephromycida
Description: tRNA-Gln
Rfam family: tRNA
About the family: Transfer RNA (tRNA) molecules are approximately 80 nucleotides in length. Their secondary structure includes four short double-helical elements and three loops (D, anti-codon, and T loops).
Source: RNAcentral
UGGGAUGUAGCCAAAAGGUAAGGCAACAGAUUUUGAUUCUGUGAAUAUAGGUUCAACUCCUAUCUUCCCAA